AAAACAUAGCUUAAUGAAAAAUAUAUUAAGUAAUACCUGCCCGGUGAAUUUUUUAACGGCCGCAGUACCUUGACUGUGCUAAGGUAGCAUAAUAAUUUGACUUAUAAUUGAGGUCUAGAAUGAAAGGAUAUACAGGGAGUAGUUGUUUCUUAAAAGAUUUAUUGAAUUUUCUAAUAAGGUGAAAAUUCCUUAAUAAAUAAAUUAGACGAGAAGACCCUUAGAAUUUUUAUUUUUAAGUUUUUGUUGGGGCGACAAAGUUACAAUUAACUUACUUAUUAUAUUAUUUUACAUGUCGAGUGUUCUAGGAAUGGUUAAAUUACCUGAGGGAUAACAGCAUAAUUUUUUUAAAGAUUGUGACCUCGAUGUUGGAUUAGGAAAAGAUGUGGUAAGUAAUUACUUUAUAGGUUCUGUUCGAACUAUUUAUCCUACGUGAUCUG
This 437-nucleotide ribosomal RNA is filed under the name Flammoconcha cumberi. Its description in RNAcentral is "partial large subunit ribosomal RNA". It matches the Rfam family "Bacterial large subunit ribosomal RNA", at positions 1810 to 2607 of the family's 2925-position model. The record is from RNAcentral. Lineage: Eukaryota; Metazoa; Mollusca; Gastropoda; Stylommatophora; Charopidae.